GCUUUUAUAGUUGAAUUACAAUGUGGAUUUUUCGUGUCCUUGGUUUUGGAUAUACCCGAAUAAAAGUA
Molecule: transfer RNA, 68 nt
Filed under: Varanus nebulosus (Clouded monitor)
Lineage: Eukaryota; Metazoa; Chordata; Lepidosauria; Squamata; Varanidae
Description: tRNA-Glu
Source: RNAcentral